CGUAAAGAGCUCGUAGGUGGUUUGUCGCGUUGUCCGUGAAAACUCACAGCUCAACUGUGAGCCUGCGGGCGAUACGGGCAGACUAGAGUACUGCAGGGGAGACUGGAAUUCCUGGUGUAGCGGUGGAAUGCGCAGAUAUCAGGAGGAACACCAGUGGCGAAGGCGGGUCUCUGGGCAGUAACUGACGCUGAGGAGCGAAAGCGUGGGGAGCGAACAGGAUUAGAUACCCUGGUAGUCCACGCCGUAAACGGUGGGUACUGGGUGUGGGUUUCCUUCCUUGGGAUCCGUGCCGUAGCUAACGCAUUAAGUACCCCGCCUGGGGAGUACGGCCGCAAGGCUAAAACUCAAAGAAAUUGACGGGGGCCCGCACAAGCGGCGGAGCAUGUGGAUUAAUUCGAUGCAACGCGAAGAACCUUACCUGGGUUUGACAUGCACAGGACGCCGGCAGAGAUGUCGGUUCCCUUGUGGCCUGUGUGCAGGUGGUGCAUGGCUGUCGUCAGCUCGCGUCGUGAGAUGUUGGGUUAAGUCCCGCAACGAGCGCAACCCUUGUCUCAUGUUGCCAGCACGUUAUGGUGGGGACUCGUGAGAGACUGCCGGGGUCAACUCGGAGGAAGGUGGGGAUGACGUCAAGUCAUCAUGCCCCUUAUGUCCAGGGCUGUCACACAUGCUACAAUGGCCGGUACAAAGGGCUGCGAUGCCGUGAGGUGGAGCGAAUCCUUCUAAAGCCGGUCUCAGUUCGGAUCGGGGUCUGCAACUCGACCCCGUGAAGUCGGAGUCGCUAGUAAUC
RNAcentral lists this ribosomal RNA (787 nucleotides) under uncultured bacterium. RNAcentral describes it as "bacterial SSU rRNA". It matches the Rfam family "Bacterial small subunit ribosomal RNA", at positions 559 to 1343 of the family's 1533-position model. The record is from RNAcentral.